UACGUAGGGUGCGAGCGUUAAUCGGAAUUACUGGGCGUAAAGCGUGUGCAGGCGGUUCGUUAAGACAGAUGUGAAAUGCCCGGGCUUAACCUGGGAGCUGCAUUUGUGACUGCAUGGCUAGAGUUUGGCAGAGGGGGGUAGAAUUCCACGUGUAGCAGUGAAAUGCGUAGAUAUGUGGAGGAACACCGAUGGCGAAGGCAGCCCCCUGGGUCAAGACUGACGCUCAUGCACGAAAGCGUGGGGAGCAAACAGG
RNAcentral lists this ribosomal RNA (253 nucleotides) under uncultured bacterium. RNAcentral's name for it is "partial 16S ribosomal RNA". It matches the Rfam family "Bacterial small subunit ribosomal RNA", at positions 524 to 776 of the family's 1533-position model. The record is from RNAcentral.